AUGCAUAAAUCAAUUAUUAGGAAAGAUGCUUACCUGAAGCGAACCUUAUUGUCGUCUGGGUUCGGGUGUCCUCUCUGCCCCAAUUUCAAGACAGAAAGUGAUGAAGUGAUCCAGAGGCACUUGAGCAACCACAGUGCAAAUGCUGUUAUUUUCCAGGACAAAUUCUGCAUCUGCAGGUGCAACUUAUCCUGCAGGGCUGGAGGCCACUUCCAUUGUCCUUUUUGUGACGGCACUAUUAUGCGUAAAGACGAUAUGGUGUCACAUCUGUAUGUGUGUCCAAAUGAAUGUAAAAUGAUUCAGCCUUCUCUGGUGGACUCUUGUAAGUCACCUUCACCAGAGACCUCGCCCCAUGAAGUGAACCAGAGGCAUUUGAGAAACCACAAUGCAAAUGAGGUUCUUUUCAAGGGUUUUUAUAUGUUGUUUGGAUCAAGUAAUGUGAUCCAACCCACACUGGAGAAAUGUUGUGAGCCAUCUUCAACAGAAACCCAGUCUUUAAAAGAGGAUCUAUCACCAGUGCAUAAAUCAAUUAUUAGGAAAGAUGCAUACCUGAAGCGAACCCUGUUAUCAUCUGGGUUUGGGUGUCCUCUCUGCCCCAAUUUCCAGACAGAAAGUGAUGAAGUGAUCCAGAGGCAUUUGAGGAACCACAAUACAAAUGCUAUUAUUUUCCAGGACAAAUUCUGCAUCUGCCGGUGCAAAUUGUUCUGUCAUUUUGAAGGCCACUUCCAUUGUCCUUUUUGUGGUGGGACAGUAACUAAAAAGAAAGAUAUGACAUUCCAUCUUACCACUUGUCCAAACAAAAGUAACGUGAUCCAACCCACACUGGAGAAUUCUUCUGCAGACCACUCCUACCGGCAAGCAGCAUCACCAAAGACCCUGACACCUGCCACGGAUUUUGAUCAGACAACUGCUACCACCUCAGAAAAACCCACAAUUCAAGAGAGAGAAGUAAUUCUGCCACUGACCAAGGCUGAAAGUGAUGAAGUGAUCCAGAAACUCUUGAGAAACCACAAUGCAAAUGCAGUUCAUUUCCAGGACUUGUCUAGUAGAGUUGGAGGCCACUUCCAUCCUUCUUUUUGUGACAGUACAAUAACUACCAAGGACUUGAUGUUCCAUCUUACCACGUGUCCAGAUAAAAGUAAUGUGAUCCAACCCACACUGGUGGAAUCUUCAGACCACUCUUAUGCAAAAGCAGCUUUACCCAAGACCCCCACACCUGUCACAGAUUUUGAUCAGACAACUCCUGCUACUACCUCAGACCAACUCAUGAUUCAGGAGGAGGAAGUGACUGUGCCACUGACCAACGUGCAUGAAUCAGUUAUUAGGAAUGAUACGGACCUGAAGCAAAGCCUGCUAACAUCUGGGUUUGAGUGUCCUCUCUGCCCCGAUUUCAAGACUCAAAGUGAUCGAGUGAUCCAGACGCAUUUGAGCAACCACAUUGCAAAUGGAGUGCAUUUCCAGGAAAACGUAGUCUGCAGGUGCAAUUUGCCUUGUAGAGCUGGAGGCCACUUUCAUUGUCUUUUUUGUGACAAGACACUAAUUAACAAGGACAGUAUGGCAUUACAUCUGAUCAGAUGUCAAAACAAAAGUACAGUGGUCCAAUUCCCACUGGUGGAAGCUUCACCAGAGCCUUUCACGCAGCCUUUAAUAGAUCCUCUGGAACCAUCAGGGAGUGAAGACCACUCGGUGUCCUCACAAACUGCAGAUCAUGCCUACACACAAACUCCCACACUCAUCACAGCUUUAAAUCAGACAACUCCUGCUACCACCUCAGACGCACUCAUGAUUCAAGAGGAGGAAAUAACUCUACCAUUGUCCAAGGCUGAAAGUGAUGAAGUGAUCCAGAAGGUCUUGAGAAACCACAAUGCAAAUGCAGUUCCAUUCCAGGACUUGUCUAGUAGAGUUGGAGGCCACUUCCAUCGUCCUUUUUGUGACAGUACAAUACCUACCAAGGACGUGAUGUUCCAUCUUACCACGUGUCCAGAUAAGAGUAAUGUGAUCCAACCCACACUGGUGGAAUCUUCUGGAGACCAUUCCUACACAAAAACAGCUUCAUGCAAGACCCCCACACCUGCCACAGAUUUUGAUCAGACAACUCCUGCUACUACCUCAGACCAACUCAUGAUUCAGGAGGAGGAAGUGACUGUGCCACUGACCAACGUAAAGUCACUUCCCCUUCAUUCUUUACAAGAGAAAGCAUGUCCAACUUCAAGACAUUACAGCAAUAUAGAGGAGGGAUUGAAUCGAGAUGUUUUAGCAUGUUUAAUGAAUAUCUGGACACAGGAUGAGCGCUGUAGUUCCUCCUACUAUAUUGGACCGUUAGGUAAAGGAUUGUCAGUUUUUAUUACAAACCCAUGUUCACCAAGUGAUCUGGUUUCUUCUGGUUCAGGUGCAUAA
Molecule: long non-coding RNA, 2394 nt
Organism: Nothobranchius furzeri (turquoise killifish)
Lineage: Eukaryota; Metazoa; Chordata; Actinopteri; Cyprinodontiformes; Nothobranchiidae
Source: Ensembl